RNAcentral lists this transfer RNA (69 nucleotides) under Ictidomys tridecemlineatus (thirteen-lined ground squirrel). RNAcentral's name for it is "Spermophilus tridecemlineatus (thirteen-lined ground squirrel) tRNA". It matches the Rfam family "tRNA". Rfam says of the family: Transfer RNA (tRNA) molecules are approximately 80 nucleotides in length. The record is from Rfam by way of RNAcentral. Lineage: Eukaryota; Metazoa; Chordata; Mammalia; Rodentia; Sciuridae.
GGAGUUGUAGCUCAGUGGUAGAGUGCUUGCCUCGCAUGCAUGAGGCUCUGGGUUCGAUCCUCGGCACCA